AACGCAUAUUGCACCCCUUGGUGAACCAUGGGGUAUGUCUGUUCGAGAGUGAUGCUCAGAGUUCAAGUUCCAUUGUUUUGAUGCAGUGGGCUUGUUUUUGAGUCCCGGGAGUCCUCCUUCCCUGGCUCUAAAGUGGUGGUCUUGCGGCCAAUGUUGAACCAAGAACAUGAUAAUGUAUAACUCACUGUUCUGGGGUUCUUGACUGAGGCUAGCCUUAACUUUCUAAAAAUUCUAACUUCGGAUCAGACAAGAAUACCCGCUGAACUUAA
This 269-nucleotide unclassified non-coding RNA is filed under the name uncultured Orbiliales. RNAcentral describes it as "sequence contains 5.8S rRNA gene, ITS2, 28S rRNA gene". Lineage: Eukaryota; Fungi; Ascomycota; Orbiliomycetes; Orbiliales. The record is from RNAcentral.